This 84-nucleotide microRNA precursor is filed under the name Bombyx mori (domestic silkworm). RNAcentral's name for it is "mir-2807 microRNA precursor family". It matches the Rfam family "mir-2807 microRNA precursor family". Lineage: Eukaryota; Metazoa; Arthropoda; Insecta; Lepidoptera; Bombycidae. The record is from Rfam by way of RNAcentral.
UUAACUCAAAUUUGUAUGGAGUGCGAUCGUUUGCAUACGUUUGCCGCUAGGGGCGCUGUUCCAACUGCAUACAAAAUUAGGUUA